UACAGAGGUCUCAAGCGUUGUUCGGAUUUAUUGGGCGUAAAGGGCGCGUAGGCGGCGGGGUAAGUCGGGUGUGAAAUCUCAGGGCUCAACCCUGAAACUGCACUUGAUACUGCUCUGCUUGAGGACUGGAGAGGAGACUGGAAUUUACGGUGUAGCAGUGAAAUGCGUAGAGAUCGUAAGGAAGACCAGUGGCGAAGGCGGGUCUCUGGACAGUUCCUGACACUGAGGCACGAAGGCCAGGGGAGCAAACGGG
RNAcentral lists this ribosomal RNA (253 nucleotides) under uncultured bacterium. RNAcentral describes it as "partial 16S ribosomal RNA". It matches the Rfam family "Bacterial small subunit ribosomal RNA", at positions 524 to 776 of the family's 1533-position model. The record is from RNAcentral.